GACGAACGCUGGCGGCGUGCUUAACACAUGCAAGUCGAACGGAAAGGCCUCUUUCGGGGGGUACUCGAGUGGCGAACGGGUGAGUAACACGUGAGUAACCUGCCCUUGACUUUGGGUUAACUUCAGGAAACUGGGGCUAAUAACGGAUAGGAGCUCCUGCUGCAUGGUGGGGGUUGGAAAGUUUCGGCGGUUGGGGAUGGACUCGAGGCUUAUCAGCUUGUUGGUGGGGUAGUGGCUUACCAAGGCUUUGACGGGUAGCCGGCCUGUAAGGGUGACCGGCCGCAUUGGGACUGAGAUACGGCCCAGACUCCGACGGGAGGCAGCAGUGGGGAAUAUUGCACAAUGGGUGGAAGCCGGAUGCAGCAACGCCGUGUGCGGUAUGACGGCCUUCGGGUUGUAAACCGCUUUCGCUCAUGACGAAGCUUUGUGUGACGGUAGUGGGUAAAGAAGCACCGGCUAACUACGUG
RNAcentral lists this ribosomal RNA (467 nucleotides) under uncultured bacterium. RNAcentral describes it as "partial 16S ribosomal RNA". It matches the Rfam family "Bacterial small subunit ribosomal RNA", at positions 28 to 507 of the family's 1533-position model. The record is from RNAcentral.